This 253-nucleotide ribosomal RNA is filed under the name uncultured bacterium. RNAcentral's name for it is "partial 16S ribosomal RNA". It matches the Rfam family "Bacterial small subunit ribosomal RNA", at positions 524 to 776 of the family's 1533-position model. The record is from RNAcentral.
UACAGAGGGGGCAAGCGUUAUUCGGAAUUAUUGGGCGUAAAGGGCGCGUAGGCGGCCUGGCAAGUGGAUGGUGAAAUCCCUCGGCUUAACCGAGGAACUGCCAUCCAGACUGCUUGGCUUGAGACCGGGAGAGGUGAGUGGAAUUCCCAGUGUAGCGGUGAAAUGCGUAGAUAUUGGGAGGAACACCAGUGGCGAAGGCGGCUCACUGGACCGGUACUGACGCUGAGGCGCGAAAGCGUGGGUAGCAAACAGG